Molecule: long non-coding RNA, 718 nt
Filed under: Ananas comosus (pineapple)
Lineage: Eukaryota; Viridiplantae; Streptophyta; Magnoliopsida; Poales; Bromeliaceae
Description: long non-coding RNA (ACOM_LNC038011)
Source: RNAcentral
AUGUUUGUAUUGAAUUUUAUUGGAUUUUUGUGAUUUAAAACUUAUUAAAAUCACUUGAGGAAUCCAAUAAUUAUUAAUGGGUCUCUUGGGAGCCCAACUAAAAGUUUCAUGUGUGAUGUUUAGUCCCACAUUGAAAACCAAAAGGGUGUUUCACUACAACAAAAAUGGUCUACAGUGACACUUUUAAAUAUCAGUACAUGUCAAAAAAAUUGCUCCUAGCUAAAUUACCUACACUUUUAAAACGUGUUGCUAUAUGUAGGGUCGCUAGGUAUAUAAUGAUAGUUAAAGAGUGUCGGUAUAAGGCAAAAAGAGUGCUGCUAGUUUACUAACACUUAUUUAAGCAUUUAGCAACUGCCGGAACUCUACCUCGUUGGCUACGGUGGCGGAGGAUGAGGAGAGGGAAGGGCUCUUCGUCUAAAAUUUCAGUGGAUUGAGUAAAUGGAAAAGGGGAGAUGGUAAUCGAUUUUUUUUUUUUCUUUUCUGUUUGUAAUCGGGCCGAAUGGACUGGGUGGGGUGGAUUGAGUAGAGUAACCUUUUAUUUUUGAUUGGAUUGGGCUUUUUAUUUAUGCAUUAGUAGAUUUUUUUUAAAGUUUUGGUAUAAAUGGGACACUUACACAAAAGUGUCCCAAACAUGUGUCGCUAUAACCUAAUUCUAUUGUAGUGUUUGUGGUUUUUAUAUAUUCCCUUGUUCUCACACUAAUUGCUUGGAAGAAAAUCA